This 556-nucleotide long non-coding RNA is filed under the name Salmo salar (Atlantic salmon). RNAcentral describes it as "lncRNA (ENSSSAG00000108240.1)". The record is from RNAcentral. Lineage: Eukaryota; Metazoa; Chordata; Actinopteri; Salmoniformes; Salmonidae.
GGAAACAGUCUGUUCACAGGGACACAUAAAUCACAUUAACACCACCGCUAAUACUGUUCUCCCCACAGAGUCUGGAGUUUACAUAUGCAUUAACAGUAUACUGCAGGAUGGAGAUGCCCCCAUGGACUGAUCCAAGGACCUGAGCCCUAGGACCAUGCCUCAGUACUACCUGGCUUGAUGACUCCUUGCUGUCCCCAGUUCACCUGGCCGUGCUGCUGCUCCAGUUCCAACUGUUCUGCCUGCAGCUAUGGAACCCUGACCUGUUCACCGGACGUGCUACCUGUCCCAGACCUGCUGUCCCAGACCUGCUGGAACCCUGACCUGUUCACCGGACGUGCUACCUGUCCCAGACCUGCUGUUUUCAACUCUCUAGAGACAGCAGGAGUGGUAGAGAUACGCUCAAAGAUCGGCUAUGAAAAAGCCAACUGACACUUACUCUUGUGUUACUGACUUGUUGCACCCUCGACAACUACUAUGAUUAUUAUUAUUUGACCAUGCUGGUCAUUUAUGAACAUUUGAACAUCUUGGCCAUGUGCUGUUAUAAUCUCCACCCGGC